Bubalus bubalis (water buffalo) is the source of this 229-nucleotide long non-coding RNA. RefSeq lists it as uncharacterized. The transcript has 2 exons. NCBI's taxonomy places the organism in Eukaryota, Metazoa, Chordata, Mammalia, Artiodactyla, Bovidae. The record is from RefSeq and is a predicted model, not a curated record.
CCUCUCCUUCGGGAGAACGGAAGGACGCCUGCGGCCUAUGUCUUAGCUGGAGCAGAUGGGAUCUAGUUCCCCAACCAAGGAUUGAACUCGAGCCCUUUGCAUAGCCAUUGGACCACCAGGGAAGUCCCAAAGCUAAGCUUUUUGAUCACUUACUACACGUCAGGCACCUUGCUAGGUAAUUUAUGCCUAUUAUUACAUUUAAUUUUCUUAAUAAACUAUAAAGUUAUGA